RNAcentral lists this ribosomal RNA (1596 nucleotides) under Triticum aestivum (bread wheat). RNAcentral describes it as "partial small subunit ribosomal RNA". The record is from RNAcentral. Lineage: Eukaryota; Viridiplantae; Streptophyta; Magnoliopsida; Poales; Poaceae.
AUGGAAUUCCGAGACUUACAAAUUUUCAAUCAAGCUUUGCUUGCUAAGCAGGCAUGAAGGUUAAUUGAAUACCCCGAUAGCCUUUGUGCCCAAGUACUCAAGGCUAAACACUAUCCUAAUGGGCUGUUGGUAGACACGGUAUUCACAGGCAAUGCUUCGUCAACCUGGAAAGCCAUUGAGUAUGGUCUCGAACUGCUCAAGAAAGGGAUUAUUUGGCGCAUUGGCAAUGGAGCAAAUGUCCGGAUAUGGAGAGACCCAUGGAUUCCCCGUGGUCCUUCCUGUCGACUCAUCACUCCUAGAGGUCGCUGCCGCCUCAGAUGGGUUGCUGAAUUGCUACAUACUGACGGAACAUGGAAAUUGGGACUACUACAACAAUUUUUUCACCAAGCUGACAUGGAGGAAAUUGUGAAAAUCAAACCGUCGCAGCGGCUCGUCUCAGACUGUGUGGCAUGGUUCCCAGACAAACAUGGCUCUUUUUCUGUGAAGAGCGCGUACUCCCUUGCCUUACAGGAGAAAAUAAGUGCAAGUGGCCUUGGUGCCUCCAGUGUCCGUCCGGAUGGCCGACGACCUGCGUGGGAUUUAAUCUGGAGGAAUCCAGCUCCACCUAAGGUACACAUCUUUGCAUGGAAAUUGGCACAUGAAGCCCUGGCUACUGAAGCGACCAAAAAAUCUAAACACAUGCAGAAUGAGCAAGCAUGCACCAUCUGUGGACAUGUUACAGAGGACGCCCAUCACGCCCUUGUCCGCUGCCCCCAUGCUGCUGGACUAUGGAACUCCAUGAGAGAAAUCUGGGACAUUCCAAGCGAGGAAGAAAUGCAUGAUACGGAGCCAGAGUGGAUAGUUCGUCUCCUUGAGAAACUGAACGAGACACAGCGAAUGAUGGUUUUGAUGAUUCUCUGGCGAGCGUGGCAUGUGAGAAAUGAAGUUACACACGAGAAACCGCCGGUUCCAAUCGAGGUCUCUCGACGGUUCCUCGCUAGCUAUGCCAUGUCCCUGUUGUCGCUACAACAGCACCCAGACGCAGACCCCAUCAAAGGUAAACAGGUGGUCGACUACUUCGGCGAGCCUAUGCGGAAGCAGAACCCCAUAUGUCAUGUGGAACAUUGGACACCUCCGGUGGCUGGCUGUGUGAAACUCAAUGCCGACGGUUCCUUCCAGCCAACUGACGGCACGGCCGGAGCGGGGAUGAUCCUACGUGACCACUUGGGGGCUGUAAUGCUGGCAGCGAUCAGAGGGCUUGGGAAUUGUGCGGACGCCCUGGAAGCCGAGUUGGCAGCAAUCCAUGAAGGAAUUACUCUGUCUCUCAAUUGGACUGAACUAGAUAUCCUUGUGGAGACUGACAGUGCUGAUGCGGUGCAACUAAUUUCGGCAGCCGGAAAGGACCGUUCAGCACACACUCACAAUGUAAUGGAGAUCAGAUCAAUACUGUCUCAAGAAAGAAGGAUUCAAAUUAUGAAGAUCAAGCGGAAUGUUAAUGUAGCUAGUCACACUCUCGCUCAUAUGGGACGUACACAACAGCGUACUGCUUGCUGGUUGCGUUCUCCCCCGGACGAGAUUGCGAGCAUUGUUGCUGCUGAUUGUAAUUACAUUUCCUGA